CGCCUUCUGAUUAAUAUUCAUACACGCACAGAGAGGUCUCUGCAGAGAUACGGGUCACUUUCCCUGUCCUCGCCUCCCCCUCACCGCACAACGCCUCUGUGUUGUGCCGAAGCUGCAGCACAUGCAUCUCCCUCUGUUUUCUUGCUUACCCCAACACCUAUACACUCACUCACGCACACCAGCGUAUCCCUUGGCUGUCGCGGUGGCGUACUUAUGUGUAUGGUAUCGCCACGCUUGUCUACUUGUCUCUUCUUUUCCCGUGUUUUCACUCUUGAUAUUCAAUGCAGCGAGGCCAGGAAAGGCGACUUCAGUGCCGCGAUGCGGUGCUGUGGACCGCGAGGGCCUCAGUGGUGGUCCUGCUAUGCGCACUACUCGGCGGCUGCGGCCUCGCAGGUGUUGCGGCCGAACAAAAGCCGUUGGUGCUGCAUGCAAGCCUCGUAGACCUCCUCAACGCGGAGAACGCGCUGUGGACGGUGUCGCUCGGCACUCCCAACGCUGCGAGCCCAUCAGUCGUGUGGACAGCGAUGCACGAGGUGCGCGUGGAGACGCAGCCCUCCCAGUCGGCCGCUUCGCUUCUCUUCAUGCUGCCGCCGCCGACCAGCUUGAGGCACCGCGCCGAGGACGCGGAGGAAGAAAAAUACGACGAAGACGGUGCGGCGACGGGGAAGCAAAGCGCGGCGCCCGGCGACGAUGCCUUUGCACAGACGCAACGCCGGAAGCCCUUUGGCCACCUCGCGCGGUCCUUCCACGGAGUCUCUUGUGAGGAAUACCGGACGGGCGGGCGAGGGCAGCAGGGCACCGUGCAAGGCCGGUGCUUCUUCCUGCGGGACGACGGCGAGGACUUCUUUGUGCGCUACGAGGUACAAGGCGCCGGCAACGGGGAAUCAAAGAGUGACAGCGAGGAGGCAGCUGCCGCCAAGACCGCCACAGCAGUGCGCCGCCGCAGCCGCCGAGGCCGUGCUUCGGCGAAGGCUGUCGCUUCACCGAAGGCAACGGCGAGCAGCAGCUCAGAGGCGUCGGGGGCGGAGCCGCGGAUCGUGCGCAGCGCCUCCGCCAGUGGCGUGUGGACAGAACACAUCCUUCUGGGCGAUAGCGCUGCCGCGGGUGCGAAGGAGACGAGCGCUGGCGCGGCAGAGGAACACGUCCGUGUCGGAGACGUGACCAUUGAUGAGUACAUCCGUGAGAUGGCAGAUGCGCGCCGCUCCAAGCAGGUGGUGCUGAAGCUCGCUAUAGCGGUGCCCCGAAAGGCCGGCGCCUCGGCGGAUGGAGGCCAAGACGACCUAAUGCAUGUGCGGCUGGAGUGCAUCACCGACGCUUUUUAUGAGGCCAUGGUGGAGCGUAGCACCGGCGUGGUGAAGGCAGCUCGCACGAGCUUCUUCUAUCGCUGGGUGUGGCCGGUGCUGUUCGUCACUGCCAUCUACGCGAUGCUGGCGGCGACGGCCCGGCUGGUUGCCUGGCGCAAGGCGUCGCAGGGGAGUGUGGCCUCGGCUACUGCUGGCGCGACGAAGAAGAAGCAGCAGUGAUGGGCGGCUGCACAGGCAGCGCAGACCACAUAUGGCGCUGCUAACCUUCUCUCUCUCUCAUGUGCUGUGUGAAGGACGAUGUUGAUGAUUGAGAAUGAGAAUGCAAGCAAGCAAGCAGAUGGAGCGGGAGGUCAGUGAAGCGGUCGGGGAUGGAUAGGGUUGUUUGAAGAGGGCUGGGAAAGGGGAGGUGUUGCAAGACCAAGCAAGAGCAAGGCACCGGGUGUAUGUGUAGGUCUACGAUCAGGGCUGACGUUCGCAGUGCUCAUCAGCCCUUGUCCUCCGUUAAGCAUGCCUCCUCGUCGUUGCGGUGGGCCUCUCUGGGCGGCGCACACAGACACAGACACGCACGGCUCAGUCAAGAAUGGCACCCUUGCGUCCAUGCACGGUGUCCUCGUACGGGUGCUCUCCAUGGCUGCGCUCACCCCACGCCCACGCCCCCCUCAUACCCGCUAUCCGCCUUGUUUGCUGCGUGCGACCCAAGAUGCUGACGCGGGUGCUGCUUGAAACGCCUGUAUGUGUGUGGGCGGGUGUGGGACUGUGGCUGAAAAGAAUGUAACGUCUUCCCCACCUUUUCUUGUUUCCGCGCGCCGUGGCGACCGAAGAGCUACCGCGCCCGUGAAAGCGCAUACCGGCUCCUCGACU
This 2165-nucleotide unclassified non-coding RNA is filed under the name Leishmania donovani. RNAcentral's name for it is "gene:LdHU3.24.2350(CDS-product:hypothetical_prote in_conserved)". Lineage: Eukaryota; Euglenozoa; Kinetoplastea; Trypanosomatida; Trypanosomatidae. The record is from RNAcentral.